This 445-nucleotide ribosomal RNA is filed under the name uncultured bacterium. RNAcentral describes it as "SSU rRNA". It matches the Rfam family "Bacterial small subunit ribosomal RNA", at positions 26 to 518 of the family's 1533-position model. The record is from RNAcentral.
AGAAUGAACGCUGGCGGCAUGCCUAACACAUGCAAGUCGAACGAAGCCUUCGGGCUUAGUGGCGCACGGGUGCGUAACGCGUGGGAAUCUACCCUUGGGUUCGGAAUAACAGUUAGAAAUGACUGCUAAUACCGAAUGAUGUCGUAAGACCAAAGAUUUAUCGCCCAGGGAUGAGCCCGCGUAGGAUUAGCUAGUUGGUGUGGUAAAAGCGCACCAAGGCGACGAUCCUUAGCUGGUCUGAGAGGAUGAUCAGCCACGCUGGGACUGAGACACGGCCCAGACUCCUACGGGAGGCAGCAGUGGGGAAUAUUGGACAAUGGGCGAAAGCCUGAUCCAGCAAUGCCGCGUGAGUGAUGAAGGCCUUAGGGUUGUAAAGCUCUUUACCCGGGAUGAUAAUGACAGUACCGGGAGAAUAAGCUCCGGCUAACUCCGUGCCAGCAGCCGC